UACGUAGGGACCGAGCGUUGUCCGGAAUCAUUGGGCGUAAAGAGCGUGUAGGCGGCUAUUUAAGUCCUGCGUGAAAUCCUGCGGCUCAACCGCAGACGGUCGUGGGAAACUGGAUGGCUAGAGUGCGGGAGAGGAGAGUGGAAUUCCCAGUGUAGAGGUGAAAUUCGUAGAUAUUGGGAAGAACACCGGUGGCGAAGGCGGCGCUCUGGACCGAGACUGACGCUGAGGCGCGAAAGCGUGGGGAGCAAACAGG
This 253-nucleotide ribosomal RNA is filed under the name uncultured bacterium. RNAcentral's name for it is "partial 16S ribosomal RNA". It matches the Rfam family "Bacterial small subunit ribosomal RNA", at positions 524 to 776 of the family's 1533-position model. The record is from RNAcentral.